AUUUUCAAAACUGAUUUAAAAUAAGAAUCUAGUUGAUUCUAUACUAACACUGUGUUUGGUUGACUCCAAAAAACUAUCGAUAUUGGAUCCAAAAGAACUGGACAAAUUCAAACUCUUUACAAUGUCACAUUUUCAUUAUAUAAACACAUUUUCAGGAAAUUCAAUAAUAUUACAAACUGUCCACCUCACAUAAAGUAACCCACCUAAUGCAUUUAUAAACAAGGAAAAAGAAAAAAGGCACAAUAAUAAGAUAUCACAAUUAAAAAGGUAAUAAAAAAAAUUAACGGUAGAGGAUGAAUAUAGUCUAUUGUACCAAGGUGAUUGGUGAGGGAUCGGCUAUCGUUCCACAUGUUUUCCAAGAAAGAUGAUAUAAUUUGGUUCCUUUCGAGAGUUCGCUAAAGGCUUCCUAGCAUUCCUGUAUCACAAUUUAUUUAAACAGUAUAAAAACCAAAGAAGAUGGAAGUAUGCCCAAAUCAAUCGAUCAAAUACUUGUUGAUUCCAUCGAAUUUUCAAAACUGAUUUAAAAUUACAAUCUAGUUGAUUCUAUACAGAUAUCAUAUUAGGUUGAUUCCAAAAAAUAUCGAUAUUGGAUCCAAAAGAACUGGACAAAUCCAAACUCUUUACAAUGACUCACAUUUUCUUCAUUUAAACACAUUUUCAGGAAGUUCAAAGGGAAAUAUCAACAAAAUCAAGGACAUCACGUCAAACUAAAUUAAAAAGGCAUAAUUCAUAAAUAAACUAAAAGAUAACGUUUGAACCUGUAAACAAUUGAAUGUACCAAGUUCUCAUAACUCGUGGCUGCUUCACAAGUUCAAA
Molecule: long non-coding RNA, 816 nt
Filed under: Olea europaea (common olive)
Lineage: Eukaryota; Viridiplantae; Streptophyta; Magnoliopsida; Lamiales; Oleaceae
Description: long non-coding RNA (OEUR_LNC013758)
Source: RNAcentral